RNAcentral lists this ribosomal RNA (527 nucleotides) under Megophrys nankiangensis (Nankiang horned toad). RNAcentral's name for it is "Xenophrys nankiangensis partial 16S ribosomal RNA". It matches the Rfam family "Bacterial large subunit ribosomal RNA", at positions 1857 to 2597 of the family's 2925-position model. Lineage: Eukaryota; Metazoa; Chordata; Amphibia; Anura; Megophryidae. The record is from RNAcentral.
GCCUGCCCAGUGACCAUGUGUUCAACGGCCGCGGUAUUCUGACCGCGCGAAGGUAGCGUAAUCACUUGUUUUCUAAAUAAAGACUAGUAUGAACGGCCACACGAGGACUUAACUGUCUCCCUUGUCCAAUCAGUGAAACUGAUCUCCUCGUGCAGAAGCGAGGAUAUCACCAUAAGACGAGAAGACCCUAUGGAGCUUUAAACUAGUAUCAACUAUUUUUAACUUCUCUCCAAGGAAUUAACAGAUAACCAAAUAUGCUUGAUACAAGUUUUAGGUUGGGGCGACCAUGGAGAAAAAGAAAUCCUCCCUGAUGACUCACAAACCAAGAGCCACGGCUCUAAGUAUUAAGAUACUUAACUUCCAUUGACCCAUUUUAUGAUCAACGAACCAAGUUACCCUAGGGAUAACAGCGCAAUCCAUUUCAAGAGUCCCUAUCGACAAAUGGGUUUACGACCUCGAUGUUGGAUCAGGGCAUCCAAGUGGUGCAACCGCUACUAAAGGUUCGUUUGUUCAACGAUUAAAGCCCU